Molecule: long non-coding RNA, 976 nt
Organism: Branchiostoma belcheri (Belcher's lancelet)
Lineage: Eukaryota; Metazoa; Chordata; Leptocardii; Amphioxiformes; Branchiostomatidae
Exons: 2
Source: RefSeq, a predicted model, not a curated record
UUGCUUCGUAUGAUUUAGUUGUUGGUAUACACGAUAUCUGACCAGUUCCGCGGCGGAUGGAUAUAGUCAGAAUUACUCGUCGCAGAACCACCCAGCUUUAGUUGGAGAGGAAGGGCGGUGGCGAGAGCAACACCUGAGAGGAACAUCAUACAGCAUUGAUUAGCUGUGAGGACCAUCACAUAUAGCACACCAGCAGCCGUACACGGAAAAGUCGUACAUGAUGAAAACCAGCGAUUCAUCUCAGCCUUCAACAUCUUGUAUGUAAAAAAACUGGUGACAGAGCAAAAGUAUCACUGAGUUACUUGAUUGGCUUGAGACAGAACAUCCAGCUUACUCAGGGGUUGUAAGGGUUAGGUCCAUUCUUACAGCUGUCCAGCCUCUUGGAAACCCAGACUUCGGGGACUGUGCCACUGGCUCAGUGGGGGCUGGUUCAGCUUAGUUAGAUGGGUUUGUUGGAUGCUAAUGUCUCAAAACAAUCUUUCGUAUAUGCUGUUUAGAAAUACUCCAUGAAUUGAUUACUCUUGUGGGACUUAUGAUCAUCAUGAUUGAAACCGAGAACGUUAACAUUUACGAAAAAGUAACAGUUCAAGGCACCCACUACCAGUAGACCACACUUUGAAUGAUGACAAUAUCCACAUGAAUGAAUCUGUUCUAAUUCAUGUGACCAUUGUCAACACAAUCAGGAAAAUUAAGGUUUAUGUUUAAUACUAAACGAAAUCAAUUUACGUUGUAAAUAUCUCAGCUCUAGUACUAGUAGCUGCCCCUGGUGGUUCGAUUAAGACAGUGUAGGGGCUGAGUUAGGCCCGGCUCUUUCCUUAAACAUUCAUGUCAUGACCAGCCGGUAUUACAAGCCUCUCGAUACAGUGCCCGCAUGUAAGGAGUCGGCAGACGAGGCUGACGUCCCCGCUGUGUGCUGGCCGGUGAGACGUCAGAAAGGACCACGAGACUCAGCAGAUCCCCGCUCUCAGAUUUUAUU